RNAcentral lists this small RNA (100 nucleotides) under Pongo abelii (Sumatran orangutan). RNAcentral describes it as "processed transcript". The record is from RNAcentral. Lineage: Eukaryota; Metazoa; Chordata; Mammalia; Primates; Hominidae.
CAGCAACUGCAUGUGCGGCCAGCUCAGCAUGCGCUGCUGGUAUGACAAGGUGGACAGUCUUGCUGAGGGGGCGCAGGAAGGAAUGUUCUGAGGAGUGCCC